Molecule: long non-coding RNA, 1981 nt
Organism: Vidua macroura (Pin-tailed whydah)
Lineage: Eukaryota; Metazoa; Chordata; Aves; Passeriformes; Viduidae
Exons: 2
Source: RefSeq, a predicted model, not a curated record
CGUCUCACUCAUCACACUCCGGGAUCCCAACCCCGACUGAGCGGCCCCCGUUCCCUUUAAACGGGGCAACCUCAGUAGCCCCAAAGGACCACUGAAAGUAUUUCUGGGUGUACUCUGCGCUUGCGCCCUCUGUUGCUAGGGGGUCUUCUUCUACUCUCUGGUGGUCAUUUGAGGAAGGCUCCUCUCUUCCUCCUCAGUGACAGUUCAUGGCCCUGUAAUGAUCUUUUCCAUAUAAGGUUAUAAGUUAUAUGCGCCUAAGUUCUAGUUGCACAGUCAGCUUAAGUAAUCAACAUACUAUCUAGUUUCUGUUUUGCGGUUUUCUGUUAUCUACACAAGUCUUUUCCUUUCUGUCUUGCAGUUUUCUGUUAUCUAUACAAGGCUUCUCCUUUCUGUCUUGCGGUUUCUUUAAUGAUGAACAAAGAGUUCUUUCCAGCUUAUCACAGCUUGGUCUCUGUCAGAAGCUCUUACCCCAUGCUGAAAUUAUUUUCUCAUUGAAGUUAUUGCCUUCAGCACAAAAACACCUUAGUGGCGAAGGCACGGAAGAAUCUGGCAAGUAAGAAUCCUCACUUCAGGAAAGCUUUACUUCCCAUUGCUCAACUGAAGUAGUUCCAAAUAUUUGCAAACUUCCCAAAUUAAUUUGGAUGGCCUGAGGAGGUGAAGAGUUGGAAUUUUGCUUCCCAUCUCAAAGCAGCAACUCAUUUGCGUUAACCUCAUCCACUGAGGAUCACUUUACAGAACAUAACACUACACAAAAAAAGGGCAAAAACAAGGGCCAUUAUUUGGUUUUCUAUGAAGGGAUGAUAAUAUCCUAAUUCUCUUAAGGAAUAAAAGCUCUCAAGAAAUGAAAGUCCACUCAGUGGUACAAAAGUAGCCCAAAGAAAUGAGUAGAUGGCAAAAGGGUGAAUCCUCCCCCUGGUAUGGAUAUCUAAGUGGCCAGUAAAGUACAGCUCUCCCCUCUUGUUCCCUGCAGCAGAAUCAGGACCAUGAAGCGGAAAAGUCACAGAUAUUCUUUCUGCCCUCCCUAACCAAAGCUGUGCCAAAACACAGAUGCUGCCUUCAAACUGACUCAAAUUCCAGCCUAGACCUCUCACCUUCCACACAACUCCUUCUUCAACACCCCACCAGCACCAACCCCCCCAAACUCCCACACAGAUCCCUCAACACCCUGCCAGGAGCCCCAGCUGUCCCCGUUCCUCGGCAGAGCUUUCCCACCCUCCAGCAGAUGCCCUGGUUCCCCGCAGGUGCCGUGGGAUGGCACUCAGGAGGAUCUGCUCCACGGCCUUCCCCUGGAGCAGGCUCAGGCUGCCAGGCCUAUGGUUCCUGGAUCAUCCUUCCCACCAAGCCUUCCUGUGCACGGCUGUUCCAUUUGCACCUUUGCGCUCAGCUCGGACUUCUUCACUGAACCACGAGUGAUGGUGAAGGAUGGAGAACAGCCUGGCAAGCUCUUUCUCCAGCUCCCUCUUUACUCUUGGGGAGGUAGAACAUUCCACAGGAAAGCAACUGCUGCCACAAGGAGCGGGUGGCCUCAGGCACCUUUGGCAAUGAAACAAGGCCUUUGACAUAAGGAAGCACAAGCAAUUCACAUGAGUAAACAAGUAAUGAGCACAGACAUACCUAAGUACUUAGCAGCAGUUAGCAUAAGAAAAACCUGGCAGGCCUAACUUGACCUGAGAGUGACUUGACAAAAAGCUUUAGCCAUAGUCUACCAGAAGAACUAAGGGCAAGUGUGGAGUCAGCCCUGUGCAGGGAAGCCAUGAGGAAGACUUGGUGCUGCUUUGGGGCAUUGAGACGGCUCCUGGCCAGGGCCUGGACAUCAGCUUCAAGUACAGCAAUCUGACACAAUGUAUUUCUAACCCCCUGCCUAUCGAAUCACCUCAGCAGUGUAAAGAUGGAUGGUAUGUUUGAUACAAUUCCUACAUCAACCCACUGAAAUUUAUACGUGGCGGAGAAACAUUUCAGUGGGUGCAGACCCCUGCCCUCC